AUGCUGAAACAACGGAUCCCGUAAGAUUCACCGAAGUUAAGCAACGUUAAGCUUGGUCAGUACCUAGCUGGGUGACCACUUGAGAAUACCAGGUGCUGUAA
Non-coding RNA from Acanthosepion pharaonis, 101 nucleotides. NCBI's taxonomy places the organism in Eukaryota, Metazoa, Mollusca, Cephalopoda, Sepiida, Sepiidae. The record is from the annotation of a GenBank genome assembly.